AACAUGUCGGCUGGCACAUGAACAGACACAGUUCUGGCAGUGAUUCAAUUAAUAGUGAAAGUAAUAAAAAAGGACAAGAAUAACCCGAUGACAUCACACACGCCAUGAAAGACGACAUACGGAUAUAUGGUCACACGAAGUCCCCAAGGCACUGCUGUGUAAUAUCCAAAGCAUACCCAUACUCCUCAGAGGAUCCAUCUACCUUUGUGCACAAGAUAACAACAACAAGAGGUUGAGAGGUCAAGGUGGAUAUUUGGCACACAAAGACUAUGACAGUAGAAAUGGCGGCUCGUGUCCUGCGUCAGGAGUGUGGUUGAGUUACACUGUGAAAACACAUUUAAG
This is a long non-coding RNA of Epinephelus moara (kelp grouper), 342 nucleotides long. RefSeq lists it as uncharacterized. The transcript has 3 exons. Lineage: Eukaryota; Metazoa; Chordata; Actinopteri; Perciformes; Serranidae. The record is from RefSeq and is a predicted model, not a curated record.